This 225-nucleotide ribosomal RNA is filed under the name uncultured bacterium. RNAcentral describes it as "partial 16S ribosomal RNA". It matches the Rfam family "Bacterial small subunit ribosomal RNA", at positions 109 to 334 of the family's 1533-position model. The record is from RNAcentral.
AGUAACGCGUGGAUAACCUGCCUCACACUGGGGGAUAACAGUUAGAAAUGACUGCUAAUACCGCAUAAGCGCACAGUACCGCAUGGUACAGUGUGAAAAGCUCCGGUGGUGUGAGAUGGAUCCGCGUCUGAUUAGCCAGUUGGCGGGGUAACGGCCCACCAAAGCGACGAUCAGUAGCCGACCUGAGAGGGUGACCGGCCACAUUGGGACUGAGACACGGCCCAA